CCAGACUCCUACGGGAGGCAGCAGUGGGGAAUAUUGCACAAUGGGGGAAACCCUGAUGCAGCGACGCCGCGUGAGUGAAGAAGUAUUUCGGUAUGUAAAGCUCUAUCAGCAGGGAAGAAAUACUGACCAUAGGGUCAGCAGACGGUACUUGACUAAGAAGCCCCGGCUAACUACGUGCCAGCAGCCGCGGUAAUACGUAGGGGGCAGGCGUUAUCCGGAUUUACUGGGUGUAAAGGGAGCGUAGACGGUAUGGCAAGUCUGAAGUGAAAGCCCAGGGCUUAACCCUGGGACUGCUUUGGAAACUGUUAGACUAGAGUGCUGGAGAGGUAAGUGGAAUUCCUAGUGUAGCGGUGAAAUGCGUAGAUAUUAGGAGGAACACCAGUGGCGAAGGCGGCUUACUGGACAGUAACUGACGUUGAGGCUCGAAAGCGUGGGGAGCAAACAGGAUUAGAUACCCGAGUAC
Molecule: ribosomal RNA, 463 nt
Filed under: uncultured bacterium
Lineage: Bacteria
Description: bacterial SSU rRNA
Rfam family: Bacterial small subunit ribosomal RNA
Source: RNAcentral